GUGUUUGUAUAGUGUGUGUGUAUAUAAUGCAGUGUGUUUGUGUAGUGUGCAUUAUAUAAACACACUACACAAACACACUGCAUUAUAUACACACACACUGCAUUA
Non-coding RNA from Pelobates cultripes (western spadefoot toad), 105 nucleotides. The record is from the annotation of a GenBank genome assembly. Lineage: Eukaryota; Metazoa; Chordata; Amphibia; Anura; Pelobatidae.